RNAcentral lists this ribosomal RNA (254 nucleotides) under uncultured bacterium. RNAcentral describes it as "partial 16S ribosomal RNA". It matches the Rfam family "Bacterial small subunit ribosomal RNA", at positions 524 to 776 of the family's 1533-position model. The record is from RNAcentral.
CACGUAGGGGGCGAGCGUUGUCCGGAUUUAUUGGGCGUAAAGAGCUCGUAGGCGGCUAAGUAAGUCGGGUGUGAAAACUCCAGGCUCAACCUGGAGACGCCACCCGAUACUGCUUUGGCUAGAGUCCGGUAGGGGAGCAUGGAAUUCCUGGUGUAGCGGUGAAAUGCGCAGAUAUCAGGAGGAACACCAGUGGCGAAGGCGGUGCUCUGGGCCGGAACUGACGCUGAGGAGCGAAAGCGUGGGGUGCGAACAGG